Non-coding RNA from Salmo salar (Atlantic salmon), 833 nucleotides. Lineage: Eukaryota; Metazoa; Chordata; Actinopteri; Salmoniformes; Salmonidae. The record is from RefSeq and is a predicted model, not a curated record.
GGAGCCAGCAGUGGGCGAAGCUUACUGCUGGAAACCCUAUGAAGAGAAGGGUUAUCGAGAGCUAAUGUAGGGGAUCAUUGAGGAUUCAGUGGACGCACAGCCAUCAACUAUCACUUUUAUUAUUCAAAUUAGUUUCCUCAAAUUACAGGAGACGGAGGAGGUUAAUUAUACAUUGUUUCUUGGUUUUAUAACUUUAUGUUUGUGUCCAGAUACGGCAAUUUAUUUCGCCGCCAACGCUACCUCAAAUUGCUUUUAUUUUUUGUUGAACCCCUUUCAUUCUCUGGGGUACACGGAAAAAGUGCGAAUUAAAACCGAGGUCGACUGCCUGAGAUCAGUUUGAUGAAGAAAGAUGAAAAGGUGAUGGCGUUCAAUACCAAUUUCUAUCAAAAGUAUAGCUGGUUAACAGGGAGCCUUUCAUCAAUCCGCCUGUAUUGCUGGCCUUGCCUGCUUUUUGGAAAGUCUGAGCCUUGGGCGAAAGAGGGGUACAGUGCCCAGAAGAACAUUGAUCGUUCAGCUAAACGACAAAACAAAAGCAGGGAGCGUAACGUUAUAAGAUUCAAACUUCUGGGAAAAACCCGCAUCUAUCAUGACGACGGUCUGCGUAUUCAAAAUGCGCAACACAAUGAGAAAAAGUGAACACUCCUCUCCACUACGAUUGUCAACUCUCUCCUGACAUGAACUGAAGCCACGUCUCAUGUUCCCGCUCAUCCACUGUUACAUUUAAUGUUUCCUCUCCAAACACUUCAAAUUCUGUCCUGCACUGAAGUCAAGCCUCCACUGGUCUCUGCCCUUGAAUGUCUGCAUUGGACAUCACUUGGCCUUCAUGGAGCAGC